UACGUAGGGCGCAAGCGUUGUCCGGAAUUAUUGGGCGUAAAGAGCUCGUAGGCGGUCUGUCGCGUCUGUUGUGAAAACUCGAGGCUCAACCUCGGGCUUGCAGUGGAUACGGGCAGACUAGAGUGCGGUAGGGGAGACUGGAAUUCCUGGUGUAGCGGUGGAAUGCGCAGAUAUCAGGAGGAACACCGAUGGCGAAGGCAGGUCACUGGCCCGGUACUGACGCUGAGGUGCGAAAGCGUGGGGAGCAAACAGG
Molecule: ribosomal RNA, 253 nt
Filed under: uncultured bacterium
Lineage: Bacteria
Description: partial 16S ribosomal RNA
Rfam family: Bacterial small subunit ribosomal RNA
Source: RNAcentral